UACGUAGGGACCAAGCGUUGUUCGGAUUUACUGGGCGUAAAGGGCGCGUAGGCGGCCUGACAAGUCACUUGUGAAAUCUCCGGGCUUAACUCGGAAAGGUCAACUGAUACUGCGGGGCUAGAGUGCGGAAGGGGCAACUGGAAUUCUCGGUGUAGCGGUGAAAUGCGUAGAUAUCGAGAGGAACACCUGCGGCGAAGGCGGGUUGCUGGGCCGACACUGACGCUGAGGCGCGAAAGCCAGGGGAGCGAACGGG
RNAcentral lists this ribosomal RNA (253 nucleotides) under uncultured bacterium. RNAcentral's name for it is "partial 16S ribosomal RNA". It matches the Rfam family "Bacterial small subunit ribosomal RNA", at positions 524 to 776 of the family's 1533-position model. The record is from RNAcentral.